This 79-nucleotide small nucleolar RNA is filed under the name Monoraphidium neglectum. RNAcentral describes it as "Small nucleolar RNA SNORD24". It matches the Rfam family "Small nucleolar RNA SNORD24". From Rfam's summary of the family: U24 is a member of the C/D class of snoRNA which contain the C (UGAUGA) and D (CUGA) box motifs. C/D box snoRNAs have been shown to act as methylation guides for a number of RNA targets. The record is from Rfam by way of RNAcentral. Lineage: Eukaryota; Viridiplantae; Chlorophyta; Chlorophyceae; Sphaeropleales; Selenastraceae.
GGCCGGUGAUGCACAAUCGAUAUUUGCUACUCUCGAGGUCACCCUGUGACGAAACUUUUCCACCAAGAUCUCUGAGGCC